AGUGGCGGACGGGUGAGUAACGCGUGAGAAUCUGCCCUUUGGUUGGGGAUAACGUUUGGAAACGAACGCUAAUACCCGAUGAGCCGGAAGGUAAAAGCUUUAGUGCCAAGGGAUGAGCUCGCGUCAGAUUAGGUAGUUGGUUGGGUAAAGGCUGACCAAGCCUGUGAUCUGUAGCUGGCCUGAGAGGAUGAUCAGCCACACUGGGACUGAGACACGGCCCAGACUCCUACGGGAGGCAGCAGUGGGGAAUUUUCCGCAAUGGGCGAAGGCCUGACGGAGCAAGACCGCGUGGGGGAGGAAGGUUUGUGGACUGUAAACCCCUUUUAUCAGAGAAGAAGUUUCUGACGGUAUCUGAUGAAUCAGCCUCGGCUAACUCCGUGCCAGCAGCCGCGGUAAUACGGAGGAGGCAAGCGUUAUCCGGAAUUAUUGGGCGUAAAGCGUCCGUAGGUGGGUGAGGAAGUCUGCUGUCAAAGCGUGAGGCUUAACCUCAUAAGGGCAGUGGAAACUCUUCGUCUAGAGUGCGACAGGGGCAAGGGGAAUUCCUAGUGUAGCGGUGAAAUGCGUAGAGAUUAGGAAGAACACCGGUGGCGAAAGCGCCUUGCUGGGUCUGCACUGACACUGAGGGACGAAAGCUAGGGGAGCGAAAGGGAUUAGAUACCCCUGUAGUCCUAGCUGUAAACGAUGGGUACUAGGCGUUGUCCGUAUCGACCCGGGCAGUGCCGGAGCUAACGCGUUAAGUACCCCGCCUGGGGAGUACGCUCGCAAGAGUGAAACUCAAAGGAUUUGACGGGGGCCCGCACAAGCGGUGGAGUAUGUGGUUUAAUUUGAUGCAACGCGAAGAACCUUACCAGGGCUUGACAUGCCGCGAA
Molecule: ribosomal RNA, 869 nt
Filed under: uncultured Pseudanabaenaceae cyanobacterium
Lineage: Bacteria; Bacillati; Cyanobacteriota; Cyanophyceae; Pseudanabaenales; Pseudanabaenaceae
Description: bacterial SSU rRNA
Rfam family: Bacterial small subunit ribosomal RNA
Source: RNAcentral